Molecule: ribosomal RNA, 465 nt
Filed under: Vreelandella stevensii
Lineage: Bacteria; Pseudomonadati; Pseudomonadota; Gammaproteobacteria; Oceanospirillales; Halomonadaceae
Description: partial 16S ribosomal RNA
Rfam family: Bacterial small subunit ribosomal RNA
Source: RNAcentral
CCUACGGGGGGCUGUAGUGGGGAAUAUUGGACAAUGGGCGAAAGCCUGAUCCAGCCAUGCCGCGUGUGUGAAGAAGGCCUUCGGGUUGUAAAGCACUUUCAGUGGGGAAGAAAGCCUUGGGGCUAAUACCCUCGAGGAAGGACAUCACCCACAGAAGAAGCACCGGCUAACUCCGUGCCAGCAGCCGCGGUAAUACGGAGGGUGCGAGCGUUAAUCGGAAUUACUGGGCGUAAAGCGAGCGUAGGCGGUCUGAUAAGCCGGUUGUGAAAGCCCCGGGCUCAACCUGGGAACGGCAUCCGGAACUGUCAGGCUAGAGUGCAGGAGAGGAAGGUAGAAUUCCCGGUGUAGCGGUGAAAUGCGUAGAGAUCGGGAGGAAUACCAGUGGCGAAGGCGGCCUUCUGGACUGACACUGACGCUGAGGUGCGAAAGCGUGGGUAGCAAACAGGAUUAGAUACCCUUGUAGUC